RNAcentral lists this ribosomal RNA (460 nucleotides) under uncultured bacterium. Its description in RNAcentral is "partial 16S ribosomal RNA". It matches the Rfam family "Bacterial small subunit ribosomal RNA", at positions 338 to 795 of the family's 1533-position model. The record is from RNAcentral.
CCUACGGGUGGCAGCAGUGAGGAAUAUUGGUCAAUGGUCGGGAGACUGAACCAGCCAAGCCGCGUGAGGGAGGAAGGUACAGAGUAUCGUAAACCUCUUUUGUCAGGGAAUAAAGGCGGGGACGUGUCCCCGGAUGCGUGUACCUGAAGAAAAAGCAUCGGCUAACUCCGUGCCAGCAGCCGCGGUAAUACGUAGGUGGCAAGCGUUAUCCGGAUUUAUUGGGUGUAAAGGGCGUGUAGGCGGGAAAGCAAGUCAGAUGUGAAAAUUCAGGGCUCAACCGUGAGACUGCAUUUGAAACUGGUUUUCUUGAGUGCUGGAGAGGUAAUCGGAAUUCGGGGUGUAGCGGUGAAAUGCGUAGAUAUACGGAGGAACACCAGUGGCGAAGGCAGAUUGCUGGACAGUAACUGACGCUGAGGCGCGAAAGCGUGGGGAGCAAACAGGAUUAGAUACCCCUGUAGUC